Molecule: non-coding RNA, 1690 nt
Organism: Oryctolagus cuniculus (rabbit)
Lineage: Eukaryota; Metazoa; Chordata; Mammalia; Lagomorpha; Leporidae
Source: RefSeq, a predicted model, not a curated record
CAGGGACGGUGGGUCCGGGUCCCUGACGUUCCAUUUGUUUCUUGGCAGAACCGAAACUUGCUGAUUCCCUGACUCCUUUCUCAGGCUUUCCCAGGCCUUUGAGGGUUCUGGACUGUUCAGGAGGGCUUUAUCUAGCAUUCUCUGCGGACAGAAGAAGACAGCCAUGAACUUGGUGUCUGCAUUCCUAGAGGGGGCCGAGUGUGAUGACUCAGGCAAUCUGAGCCUCAGCUUCCUGAGCUCUAGGGACAAGGCUCGCGGAAGGAUCAGGUGGGAAUUCUUUGCAAAGUGCUUCUGGGUAAGGAACUGCUCAGGCACAGAACCGCCCGCCCAGGUGAGAGGAGGGCCUGGCUCUCUGGCUGUGCCGGGCCAGUUCUUCUGCAGACAGACAAAUGGGCCUUCCACAUGGAUCUUCCUCCUGGCUGUGUCUGACGUGAGCGGCCAGGCCCUCGUGGGCUUGGAAUUUCUCGUGAUCAGGAGGUGCAAAAAUCCCAGCGCAGCCAGGUUUUCGUCCCAGGACAGCGCUCACCUGUGACGUCACUCACCUGUGACGUCACUGCUGCCGCACUUCCGGCCCGCGCUGCAGCUCGCCAGUUCCCGGGACGCGUGAGGAUCUGUUUGCAGCGGGAUCUGUGUCAAUAACACGAGAGUGUCUUUGCUGCUUAUCUAGCGAGAGCAGAGUGGACAGUGAGAGAGAGAGACAGAGAGAAAGGUCUUCCUUUGCCAUUGGUUCACCCUCCAAUGGCUGCCGCGGCCUGCGCACUAAGGAGGAUGGAUGGUAGAAGGCGUGCAGAGGAAGGAUCCCAUGGAAAAAAAUGUAAAAAAAUCUGAAGCAAAUAUUUCAAAAGAGUGACAUUUGGAUAUCUGAGAGGACAAAUUUGCCCUCUGCUGAGUCAGCACAUCACAGUGUGCCCCUGCACCAGUGACAUCUGUCUUAGAGAACCCGUGCACCGAGCCGGCCACUCCCUGAUUGUUUUCGGUCUCUGCAGUCAUUCUGUGCCGUGAGGCGGAGGUUCCAAGGGGGCGGUUUCACAUCCUGGGCUGCCGCUCUGAGUCUGUGCACACCCCGUGCCGUUACCUAGCAGGCUCGCCUGUGACCUGUGUCAUGACCUUGCUGCGUGCGAAACGAGGAUGAGAAGUUUUGGCUUUGGAACUGAGAGCAAUGAAAGAGGAGGAAUUCAACUGCAGCUCCAGAGCCAUGGGCAGGGGGCCCUGCAGGCUUCUUAGAAGGAAUCCCAGGUACGCUGUGAUUGCUUUGCAUGCCUGGUCUAAACAAGCCAGGUGAUUGGCCUGGGCUCAAAGGACCAGCUCUCAUGCCAGGUGUCCCAACACUUCCAUCAGAUUACCCAGGUGGCAUGGGGCCCCUCUUGUUUCGUCUUCUUUGAAUCCUGGACACCACACUGCUUCACCGUCUGCCUUACACGCCUCUCCAGGAGGUGUGUCUACAAAAGUCAGAGUCCCCAUUAUCCCCCCAGAACCGUCUUGUGGUCCAGAGAGCAGGUGUGAGCGAGCCGAGGUGGUGCAGGCCUGGCUGCCUGCGUCUUCUGUCCCCGUCAGCAUCAGGGCCCUGCUUCAGCACUCUCUGUGUCUUCAGCCCUUUGGGCCUCCAGGAAACAUUAUGAGUUAAUUAUUUCUCAGGGCUGACUCAGACAGUGGUUUUUUUUUUUUUUUCUUCCAGAGAAUUCUGUCAGCC